ACCCGCACAAGGCAGCGGAGCGUGUGGUUUAAUUCGUUGCUACACGAAGAACCUUACCAGGGUUUGACAUGCAAGUGGUAGGAAUCCGAAAGGUCGACGACCCUUCGGGGAGCUUGCACAGGUGCUGCAUGGCUGUCGUCAGCUCGUGUCGUGAGAUGUUCGGUUAAGUCCGCUAACGAGCGCAACCCUCGUCGUGUGUUAUACGUGUCACACGAUACUGCCGGUAUCAAGCCGGAGGAAGGUGGGGAUGAUGUCAAGUCAGCAUGGCCUUUAUAUCCUGGGCUACACACACGCUACAAUGGCAGAUACAAUAGGUUGCGAAACCGCGAGGUGGAGCCAAUCCUACAAAGUCUGUCUCAGUUCAGAUUGUAGGCUGCAACUCGCCUGCAUGAAGUUGGAGUUGCUAGUAAACGCAGGUCAGCUAUACUGCGUUGAAUACGUUCCCGGGGUUU
RNAcentral lists this ribosomal RNA (452 nucleotides) under uncultured Leptolinea sp. RNAcentral's name for it is "bacterial SSU rRNA". It matches the Rfam family "Bacterial small subunit ribosomal RNA", at positions 920 to 1378 of the family's 1533-position model. The record is from RNAcentral. Lineage: Bacteria; Bacillati; Chloroflexota; Anaerolineae; Anaerolineales; Anaerolineaceae.